This 628-nucleotide ribosomal RNA is filed under the name Escherichia coli. Its description in RNAcentral is "partial 23S ribosomal RNA". It matches the Rfam family "Bacterial large subunit ribosomal RNA", at positions 609 to 1238 of the family's 2925-position model. RNAcentral also lists the same sequence under 3 other names. Lineage: Bacteria; Pseudomonadati; Pseudomonadota; Gammaproteobacteria; Enterobacterales; Enterobacteriaceae. The record is from RNAcentral.
UGUAUAAUGGGUCAGCGACUUAUAUUCUGUAGCAAGGUUAACCGAAUAGGGGAGCCGAAGGGAAACCGAGUCUUAACUGGGCGUUAAGUUGCAGGGUAUAGACCCGAAACCCGGUGAUCUAGCCAUGGGCAGGUUGAAGGUUGGGUAACACUAACUGGAGGACCGAACCGACUAAUGUUGAAAAAUUAGCGGAUGACUUGUGGCUGGGGGUGAAAGGCCAAUCAAACCGGGAGAUAGCUGGUUCUCCCCGAAAGCUAUUUAGGUAGCGCCUCGUGAAUUCAUCUCCGGGGGUAGAGCACUGUUUCGGCAAGGGGGUCAUCCCGACUUACCAACCCGAUGCAAACUGCGAAUACCGGAGAAUGUUAUCACGGGAGACACACGGCGGGUGCUAACGUCCGUCGUGAAGAGGGAAACAACCCAGACCGCCAGCUAAGGUCCCAAAGUCAUGGUUAAGUGGGAAACGAUGUGGGAAGGCCCAGACAGCCAGGAUGUUGGCUUAGAAGCAGCCAUCAUUUAAAGAAAGCGUAAUAGCUCACUGGUCGAGUCGGCCUGCGCGGAAGAUGUAACGGGGCUAAACCAUGCACCGAAGCUGCGGCAGCGACACUAUGUGUUGUUGGGUAGGGGAGCG